CCAAUAGCGUAUAUUAAAGUUGUUGCAGUUAAAAAGCUCGUAGUUGAAUUUUGGGUCUGGCCGGGCGGUCCGCCUUCUGGGUGAGUACUGUUCCGAUGUCGGGCCUAUCCUUCUGGUGAGUCGGCAUGCCCUUUACUGGAUGUGUCGGGGAACCAGGACCAUUACCUUGAAAAAAUUAGAGUGUUCAAAGCAGGCAUUUGCUCGAAUACAUUAGCAUGGAAUAAUGAAAUAGGACGCGUGGUGCUAUUUUGUUGGUUUCUAGAACCGCCGUAAUGAUUAAUAGGGAUAGUUGGGGGCAUUAGUAUUCAAUUGUCAGAGGUGAAAUUCUUGGAUUUAUUGAAGACUAACUUCUGCGAAAGCAUUUGCCAAGGAUGUUUUCAUUAAUCAAGAACGAAAGUUAGGGGAUCGAAGACGAUCAGAUACCGUCGUAGUCUUAACCAUAAACUAUGCCGACUAGGAAUCGGGCGAUGUUAUUUUCACGACUCGCCCGGCGCCUUAUG
Molecule: ribosomal RNA, 500 nt
Filed under: uncultured Glomeromycotina
Lineage: Eukaryota; Fungi; Glomeromycota
Description: partial small subunit ribosomal RNA
Rfam family: Eukaryotic small subunit ribosomal RNA
Source: RNAcentral